AAGAGCUUCAAGAUAUUUCUGCUUUCUAAUCUCAAAAAAGAUUUUCAUUGAAUAUCUGUUGUCGUCAACUUUGGUAAAUCCGGACAAGUACUUCUCAACUUCGUCCCACUCACCUGCAUGUACUUUCUCCUCAAAGUACUUCAUAUUGAAGAAAAAUCCUGAUUCUUGCUCGAGCUUGUGAACGGACUCCUUAAAUUUCUCCUCUUCUAGAAACUGAAGUAUGAGGAACACCAAUUCUCUGCUAAGAGAAGACAUUUUUUCCAACUCUCUUCAAAACCCCCAAAUCCAACAAUCUCCGAUUCCAGAACUCCACAGAUCCAAGCCCUAGAUAUCCACACGCGCUACGAUUUCUAGGGUUUCAGCUCCUCCUCUCUCACAUAAACAAUUAAUAAAUCAGUGCUUGAUUUCCAAAGGCUGCCGAAGAAGAAAGAGAAAUUAUAUAUAUAUAUAUAUA
This 454-nucleotide unclassified non-coding RNA is filed under the name Hevea brasiliensis (rubber tree). The record is from RNAcentral. Lineage: Eukaryota; Viridiplantae; Streptophyta; Magnoliopsida; Malpighiales; Euphorbiaceae.